AAAAAGAGUCUUGCAGAACCUUGAGAGCAACCCUGUUCAGCUAUAUUGAGAGUUUCUUAACUUAGUUGUGGCGACAAGAAAGAAGAACAGAAAAAGGAGCAAGCAGUUUAUGUCUCAGAAACUUCCAGAAUCGACCAGAGUUUCUUCUUCCCUUUUGAUCUUUGUUUUUGUUCAAUUCAUAAACAUGAUUUCAACUACGUGUUUGAUUUUCAAUAUAAUUAUGAUUGCUUAAACUCUAUGUUAAAAUGAUC
RNAcentral lists this long non-coding RNA (251 nucleotides) under Gossypium barbadense (sea-island cotton). RNAcentral's name for it is "long non-coding RNA (GBAR_LNC006267)". The record is from RNAcentral. Lineage: Eukaryota; Viridiplantae; Streptophyta; Magnoliopsida; Malvales; Malvaceae.